RNAcentral lists this long non-coding RNA (463 nucleotides) under Phoenix dactylifera (date palm). RNAcentral's name for it is "long non-coding RNA (PDAC_LNC016264)". The record is from RNAcentral. Lineage: Eukaryota; Viridiplantae; Streptophyta; Magnoliopsida; Arecales; Arecaceae.
GAGAGAGAGAGAGAGAGAGAGAGAGAGGUAGUUGGGAGGUCUCAAACACAAUUGAUAAGAAGAAAUUUUUGAAGUGGAAAUGGUAGAUGCGGCAGGAGAAGAAAGGAGUGUAGUUUGUGUCUAUUCCUAUAUGCACCGGCCUUUAUUUUUUACCAGCUGCUCCGCAGAGGUGUGUCGUUUGGGAAGCGAGCCACACUGGCUUUUCGCUUGCUCCUUUAUAGACUCUCAUAGGCCUACGGCUUCUCGUGGGUGGAUUUUUGGGAGGAUUCUGGAAUUAACCGGCGUUUACAACCACGGUGGUUGCGCCGGGGGCUGUUUGGCUCGGUGCUCUUUUUGACCGUUGAUGCGCUGUCCCCAGAAUCCGACACUUAGCUGGUCCCCGGUUUCUCUGCUGGCUCGUUUGGUCUGACGUGGUUGGGCACAGCAUUUUUUGAUUUUUUUUUUGGUUUCGGUACAAAUUUUU